GACGAACGCUGGCGGCGUGCCUAAUACAUGCAAGUCGAGCGAUGAAGAUUGGUGCUUGCACCAAGCUGAAGAGCAGCGAACGGGUGAGUAACGCGUGGGGAAUCUGCCUGUGAGCGGGGGACAACAUGGGGAAACGAAUGCUAAUACCGCAUAAGAACUUUAAACAUAAGGGGGAAGGGUGAAAGAUGCAAUUGCAUCACGCAAAGAUGAUCCCGCGUUGUAUUAGCGAGGUGGUGAGGUAAAGGCGCACCAAGGCGAUGAUACAUAGCCGACCGGAGAGGGUGGUCGGCCGCAUUGGGACUGGGACCCGGCCCAAACUCAUUCGGGUGGCAGCCGUAGUGCAUCUUCGGGCAUGGGUGGAAGUCUGACCGCGCUACGCCGCGUGCGUGUAGAACGUUUCCGGGUCGUGAAACUCUGUUGUUAGGUAAGAACGCUGGUGCGACUGGAACGCUCCUCAAGUGACGGUAACUACCCAGAAAGCGCCGGCUAACUACGUG
Molecule: ribosomal RNA, 497 nt
Filed under: uncultured bacterium
Lineage: Bacteria
Description: partial 16S ribosomal RNA
Rfam family: Bacterial small subunit ribosomal RNA
Source: RNAcentral